This 240-nucleotide ribosomal RNA is filed under the name uncultured Bacteroidota bacterium. RNAcentral's name for it is "uncultured Bacteroidetes bacterium partial 16S ribosomal RNA". It matches the Rfam family "Bacterial small subunit ribosomal RNA", at positions 796 to 1041 of the family's 1533-position model. Lineage: Bacteria; Pseudomonadati; Bacteroidota. The record is from RNAcentral.
CACGCUGUAAACGAUGAUCACUCGUUGUUGGGUAGUAAUACUCAGUGGCUAAGCGAAAGCGAUAAGUGAUCCACCUGGGGAGUACGAUCGCAAGGUUGAAACUCAAAGGAAUUGACGGGGGCCCGCACAAGCGGAGGAGCAUGUGGUUUAAUUCGAUGAUACGCGAGGAACCUUACCCGGGCUUGAACGUAAGACGAAUAUACAGGAAACUGUAUAGCCUACGGGCGUCUUGCGAGGUGC